RNAcentral lists this ribosomal RNA (463 nucleotides) under uncultured bacterium. RNAcentral describes it as "bacterial SSU rRNA". It matches the Rfam family "Bacterial small subunit ribosomal RNA", at positions 917 to 1382 of the family's 1533-position model. The record is from RNAcentral.
GGGCCCGCACAAGCAGUGGAGUAUGUGGUUUAAUUCGAAGCAACGCGAAGAACCUUACCAGGUCUUGACAUCCCGAUGACCGCUGUGGAGACACAGCUUCUCUUCGGAGCAUUGGAGACAGGUGGUGCAUGGUUGUCGUCAGCUCGUGUCGUGAGAUGUUGGGUUAAGUCCCGCAACGAGCGCAACCCCUGUUGUCAGUUGCCAUCAUUCAGUUGGGCACUCUGGCGAGACUGCCGGUGACAAAUCGGAGGAAGGUGGGGACGACGUCAAAUCAUCAUGCCCCUUAUGACCUGGGCUACACACGUACUACAAUGGCGAUUACAAUGGGAUGCAAUGUCGCGAGGCGGAGCCAAUCCACAAAAAUCGCCCCAGUUCAGAUUGCAGGCUGCAACUCGCCUGCAUGAAGUCGGAAUUGCUAGUAAUGGCAGGUCAGCAUACUGCCGUGAAUACGUUCCCGGGCCUU